This 252-nucleotide ribosomal RNA is filed under the name uncultured bacterium. RNAcentral's name for it is "partial 16S ribosomal RNA". It matches the Rfam family "Bacterial small subunit ribosomal RNA", at positions 524 to 776 of the family's 1533-position model. The record is from RNAcentral.
UACGGAGGAUGCGAGCGUUAUCCGGAUUUAUUGGGUUUAAAGGGUGCGCAGGCGGCGUGUCAAGUCAGCGGUAAAAUGUCGGGGCUCAACCCCGGCCGGCCGUUGAAACUGGCGUGCUCGAGUUGGAGAGAAGUAUGCGGAAUUCGUGGUGUAGCGGUGAAAUGCAUAGAUAUCACGAAGAACCCCGAUUGCGAAGGCAGCAUACCGGCUCCACACUGACGCUGAGGCGCGAAAGCGUGGGGAGCAAACAGG